Molecule: ribosomal RNA, 253 nt
Filed under: uncultured bacterium
Lineage: Bacteria
Description: partial 16S ribosomal RNA
Rfam family: Bacterial small subunit ribosomal RNA
Source: RNAcentral
UACAGAGGGUGCGAGCGUUAAUCGGAAUUACUGGGCGUAAAGGGCUCGUAGGCGGCCAACUAAGUCAGACGUGAAAUCCCCAGGCUCAACCUGGGAACUGCGUCUGAUACUGGAUGGCUUGAAUCCGGGAGAGGGAUGCAGAAUUCCAGGUGUAGCGGUGAAAUGCGUAGAUAUCUGGAGGAAUACCGGUGGCGAAGGCGGCAUCCUGGACCGGCAUUGACGCUGAGGAGCGAAAGCCAGGGGAGCAAACGGG